GGUUGAGCCUUGGUAUGGAAACCUACUAAGUGAGAACUUUCAAUUCAGAGAAACCCUGGAAUUAACAAUGAAGAACUGAUUAAUCGGACGAGAAUAAAGAUAGAGUUCCAUUCUACAUG
This 119-nucleotide transfer RNA is filed under the name Erythrostemon nelsonii. RNAcentral's name for it is "partial tRNA-Leu". The record is from RNAcentral. Lineage: Eukaryota; Viridiplantae; Streptophyta; Magnoliopsida; Fabales; Fabaceae.